Molecule: long non-coding RNA, 672 nt
Organism: Quercus robur (English oak)
Lineage: Eukaryota; Viridiplantae; Streptophyta; Magnoliopsida; Fagales; Fagaceae
Exons: 3
Source: RefSeq, a predicted model, not a curated record
AAUUUCUUUACCGAUGCAAGGAAAAUAGUUCACAUUUUUGAAAUUAUAGAAAGCUUUAUUGACCAAAGUGAAAUUAAAGGAGUGAAUUGAAUUUCAAUCAAAGUUAGAAGGGGCCAUCUGUAAUUUAAUUAAAAUUUAUCAAUGAUUCAUUCAGCAUCAAAACGCUUGCCGUAUCAACCAAGCGUUCAACUUACGCCCUGUAGCUUAAUUCGCGCAGCCCUUUCAAUUUUGGAAUAGUACUUAUACACACACUCUCGCUCUCUACUCUCUCUCUCUCAACUCUCAAGGCUCUUUUAGAUUUCUGAGGAGGAACGAUAUGAAUGUUGUGUCUAUGGAGAGAUGCUGUUAGACCGCUACAACCAAGUUAAGGGCACGGAUUUUGAAUUUGUGAGACUUGUUAAGAUGAUGGUAAUGCUCGCCGCUGGCGUAAAUUUUAAAAUUCAAUUUAAGGCCAAGUCCAACGCCGCUGCUGCUGCUGCUGAGUGCACCCUGAAAACCUUUGAAGGUUUCGUGUUCAAGUGUUGUAACUUUCGUCAUAGAGUGUGGCCCGAGACUUGUCGACUACUAUGCCCUGAUCCUCCUGACUACGUGUAUGAUGAAGAAUCUCGCCGCCUUGUGUGCACUUAUGAAGUGGCAGGUCAUCCGUGUUUGCCCUGACUCUCAAGGUUGGGU